This 253-nucleotide ribosomal RNA is filed under the name uncultured bacterium. Its description in RNAcentral is "partial 16S ribosomal RNA". It matches the Rfam family "Bacterial small subunit ribosomal RNA", at positions 524 to 776 of the family's 1533-position model. The record is from RNAcentral.
UACGUAGGGUGCGAGCGUUGUCCGGAAUUAUUGGGCGUAAAGAGCUCGUAGGUGGUUUGUCGCGUUGUUCGUGAAAACUCACAGCUCAACUGUGGGCGUGCGGGCGAUACGGGCAGACUUGAGUACUGCAGGGGAGACUGGAAUUCCUGGUGUAGCGGUGGAAUGCGCAGAUAUCAGGAGGAACACCGGUGGCGAAGGCGGGUCUCUGGGCAACUACUGACGCUGAGGAGCGAAAGCGUGGGGAGCGAACAGG